GACGAACGCUGGCGGCGUGCUUAACACACGCAAGUCGAGCGGUAAGGCCCUUUCGGGGGUACACGAGCAGCGAACGGGUGAGUAACACGUGGGUGACCUGCCCUCAGCUCUGGGAUAAGCCUGGGAAACCGGGUCUAAUACCGGAUAUGACUCCAUGACGCAUGUUGUGGGGUGGAAAGCCUUGUGCGGCUGAGGAUGGGCCCGCGGCCUAUCAGCUUGUUGGUGGGGUGAUGGCCUACCAAGGCGACGACGGGUAGCCGGCCUGAGAGGGCGACCGGCCACACUGGGACUGAGACACGGCCCAGACUCCUACGGGAGGCAGCAGUGGGGAAUCUUGCGCAAUGGGCGAAAGCCUGACGCAGCGACGCCGCGUGAGGGAUGACGGCC
This 387-nucleotide ribosomal RNA is filed under the name uncultured bacterium. Its description in RNAcentral is "bacterial SSU rRNA". It matches the Rfam family "Bacterial small subunit ribosomal RNA", at positions 28 to 416 of the family's 1533-position model. The record is from RNAcentral.